AAUUCUCAACUUCAAUACUUUUUGUAUUGAAAGCUUGGAUGUUGGAGGGUUUGCAGGCAUGUGUUAAUGCCAGCUCCUCUUAAAUGCAUUAGCAGAACUUGUAUGUUCGGCUCUGGUUUGAUAAUCCUAUCUAUGCCAUUGCUGAAAUGUCAUUGUUCAGCUUCUAAUGGUCCAUCCUAUUGGACUGUCUCCUUGGAGGCAUAUUUUUUG
This 210-nucleotide unclassified non-coding RNA is filed under the name uncultured Clavulinopsis. RNAcentral's name for it is "sequence contains ITS2". The record is from RNAcentral. Lineage: Eukaryota; Fungi; Basidiomycota; Agaricomycetes; Agaricales; Clavariaceae.